UUUGCCUACGGGGCGCAGCAGUGGGGAAUAUUGGGCAAUGGGCGUAAGCCUGACCCAGCAACGCCGCGUGAAGGAAGAAGGCUUUCGGGUUGUAAACUUCUUUUAACAGGGAAGAGCAGAAGACGGUACCUGUUGAAUAAGCCACGGCUAACUACGUGCCAGCAGCCGCGGUAAUACGUAGGUGGCAAGCGUUGUCCGGAUUUACUGGGUGUAAAGGGCGUGCAGCCGGGUUUAUAAGUCAGAUGUGAAAUCCCGCGGCUCAACCGCGGAACUGCAUUUGAAACUGUAGAUCUUGAGUACUGGAG
RNAcentral lists this ribosomal RNA (305 nucleotides) under uncultured bacterium. RNAcentral's name for it is "bacterial SSU rRNA". It matches the Rfam family "Bacterial small subunit ribosomal RNA", at positions 334 to 654 of the family's 1533-position model. The record is from RNAcentral.